GGUUAAGUGACUAAGCGUACAGGGCGGAUGCCUUGGCAAUCAGAGGCGAUGAAGGACGUGCUAAUCUGCGAAAAGCUUGGAUGAGUCGAUAAGAGGCGUUUAAUCCAAGAUAUCCGAAUGGGGAAACCCAGUAGAUGAAGAAUCUACUAUCAAUAAAUGAAUACAUAGUUUAUUGAGGCGAACCGGGAGAACUGAAACAUCUAAGUACCCCGAGGAAAAGAAAUCAACCGAGAUUCUGUGAGUAGCGGCGAGCGAAAGCGGAAGAGCCAGUAAGUUUUAGCUAGCAUAUUAGAGGAAUUGGCUGGGAAGCCAAAUCAAAGAGGGUGAUAAUCCCGUACUCGAAAGUAUGUUAGUGGAACUAAGCUUACGAUAAGUAAGGCGGGACACGAGAAAUCCUGUUUGAAGAUGGGGGGACCAUCCUCCAAGGCUAAAUACUCCUGAUUGACCGAUAGUGAACCAGUACUGUGAAGGAAAGGCGAAAAGAACCCCGGUGAGGGGAGUGAAAUAGAACCUGAAACCCUGUACGUACAAGCAGUAGGAGCGAGGGCAACCUUGUGACUGCGUACCUUUUGUAUAAUGGGUCAGCGACUUAUAUUUUGUAGCGAGGUUAACUGAAUAAGGGAGCCGAAGGGAAACCGAGUCUUAACUGGGCGUUGAGUUGCAAGGUAUAGACCCGAAACCCGGUGAUCUAGCCAUGGGCAGGUUGAAGGUUGGGUAACACUAACUGGAGGACCGAACCGACUAAUGUUGAAAAAUUAGCGGAUGACUUGUGGCUGGGGGUGAAAGGCCAAUCAAACCGGGAGAUAGCUGGUUCUCCCCGAAAUCUAUUUAGGUAGAGCCUUGAGCGGACACCUUCGGGGGUAGAGCACUGUUUCGGCUAGGGGUCCAUCCCGGAUUACCAACCCGAUGCAAACUGCGAAUACCGAAGAGUGAUACUCAGGAGACACACGGCGGGUGCUAACGUUCGUCGUGGAGAGGGAAACAACCCAGACCGCCAGCUAAGGUCCCAAAGUCUAUAUUAAGUGGGAAACGAAGUGGGAAGGCUUAGACAGCUAGGAUGUUGGCUUAGAAGCAGCCAUCAUUUAAAGAAAGCGUAAUAGCUCACUAGUCGAGUCGGCCUGCGCGGAAGAUGUAACGGGGCUCAAAUAUAGCACCGAAGCUGCGG
RNAcentral lists this ribosomal RNA (1165 nucleotides) under Pasteurella multocida. Its description in RNAcentral is "partial 23S ribosomal RNA". It matches the Rfam family "Bacterial large subunit ribosomal RNA", at positions 1 to 1205 of the family's 2925-position model. The record is from RNAcentral. Lineage: Bacteria; Pseudomonadati; Pseudomonadota; Gammaproteobacteria; Pasteurellales; Pasteurellaceae.